ACCGUGGAUGCUUUAAUGGAUGCUGGGAAGGCGGAGCCGAAUCUCUGCUUUCCUGACCAGUAGCCUAGCGUUUACGAUGUUCAUGAACGCCGCACACGUAGCACGAAAGCGUACAAUAAGGAAGGCGCUGGAAAAUCCGCACGGGCGAUGAACGCACCGCCGUUAGCCUGGCUAGUGUAUUUAUUUGUGUGUAUUUACUCAACUACAGAAAGUUCCAGGCUACUGUAGUUCCUCGUAUUGCAGCCAUGGCCUUUUAGUUACUCAACUAUAGAAGGUUGUAGGCUACACGUAUGUAUGUAUUUCUUAUAGUGUGCAGGGGUGUUUAUUUACACAACUACAUACGGUACCAGCCUACUGUUUUUCCUCAUUCAGUGGCAACACUCAACUACAGAGGGUAACUGACUAUUGUAUUUUUUGUGUAGUGGCUAAGGCAUUUAUUUACUCAAAUACAGAAAGUACCAGGCUGCUGUAUUUUCUCGUUUCAUAGCCACACUCAAAUACAGAGAGUACCAGGCCCAUGUUGGAUUUCCUCAUAUAUAUGGCCACAUUCAACUACAGAAAUUAUCAGGCGACUGUAUUUCCUCAUAUUGCAGCCGUGGCCUUUUAUUGACUCAACUACAGAGGGAAUCAAACUACUAUAGUUGUAUUGUGCAGGGGUGUUUAUUUACUGGAGUACAGAGAGUUCCAGGCUACUGUAUUUCCUUGUUUUGUGGCCUCAAUCAAUUACAAAGAGCUGUUAUAUUUCUUCAUUUAUUGAACAUGGGUGUUUAUUUACUCAAUUACAGUGGGUACCAGGCUACUGCAUUUCCUCAUACAGCAGCUAUGGGCAUCUACACUGUGCAGAAUUAUUAGGCAAAACUGCAACCUACUUGGAAUACUUUGAAGUACAAGAUGUUCAGUGUUCAGAGACAUGACCAAGAUAGACGGGCCCGUGGCUGGAUCGCUCGCGGGCACAGAGCUCCACGUCAACUCAAGACGCCAGCAAAGUGCAGUUUUCAGAAGACACUUUCCUUCAAGCAAUGGUACAGGAAGAAGUCUGUAUCUUUCAAAAAGACUGCUUUUUAUGCAGGACAAUGCUCCAUCACAUGCAUCCAAGUAGUCCUCUGCGUGGCAGGCCAGUAAAGGCUUGAAAGACGAAAAGUUUAUGACAUGGCGGCUGUGGUUUCUGCUGCACAAAAACCUGAUCGGCUACAAUCAAGAAACUGACAGAAUCCAUGGAUGGAAGGCUUAGCACAUUUGUUGAAUAGAAGGGUGGCUAUAUUGGCCACUUUUAUAUAUUUAUCAGUUUAUAUCCAUUUCUAUUGGACAAUUUUGAGUUGUUUGUUUAUAAUUCUCACUUAACUAUAUGAAAAUAAAAAACAGAUGGGAAUUUUUUUUUCAUUUACUUGCAUCAUAAUUGUACACACCAAUAGUUGCCUAAUAAUUUUUCCCAUAUUGAUAUUCUCCUAAGGAAGCCUAAACCUCACUUUUACUUUCUUAAACAUUUUUCUUUGAGGUUUAUUAACAUUUUGGAUUAACCUAAAACACUGCAGUUGGUUAUUUAAAAAAAUUAUCAAAAAUAAGACUUGCCUAAUAAAUCUGCACACAGUGUAUUUACUCAACUGCAGAGUACCACAUGUGCUACAAGCACAUGCAGUAGUGUGGUGCCCACGGGCAUAUUCAACUACAGAGUAUUGGCAAUACAGUAUUGCCUCGCAUUACCGUCAUGGGUGUUUUCAUAGUACAGGGAGUACUAGCGGCAGGUGUUUAUUAGAGGGAAACCUUGAUCUGCACACAUCUAUUGUAUUAUUACAUUGUGAAAUAUAAUAUUUAGUAAUUUAAGUGGUACCUUUUUAAGUAUUCAAUUUGGUUUUUAUUAAAUUUGUA
Long non-coding RNA from Phyllopteryx taeniolatus (common seadragon), 1866 nucleotides. RefSeq lists it as uncharacterized. The record is from RefSeq and is a predicted model, not a curated record. The transcript has 4 exons. NCBI's taxonomy places the organism in Eukaryota, Metazoa, Chordata, Actinopteri, Syngnathiformes, Syngnathidae.